GAGUAAUUAUGACUAUAAAACCCUUGUCUGUAAAAUAAGGCAUAGCUUAGCUAAUAGUCG
RNAcentral lists this transfer RNA (60 nucleotides) under Xiphinema rivesi. RNAcentral's name for it is "tRNA-Tyr". Lineage: Eukaryota; Metazoa; Nematoda; Enoplea; Dorylaimida; Longidoridae. The record is from RNAcentral.